CACAUCUUUACGACCUGUACCUAAUUCUUUCAAUUUGGUUUGUUCGAUCCCUCAUCAUUCUAUGACGUGAUUGUCAGAAAAAUUACCCUCUGUUAAUUAAUUAAUUCAGUUAUUUCCCUACACUUAUUAACAUUUUUCUUACCUUCACUGUAAUGUAGAUUUUUUUUAUGUUUACUCCAGAAGCUCCUACUUCUACGGAAAGCCGUCGACCAGGAAAAUCAAUUCUAGAAGAUCCAGUGUACACAAAAGAUAUCAUGAAUGAUUCGGAAAAUUCUCCUGAUUCGGACGAGUCACAGAGCAGUGACAGUGGAGCAAAAGAGUCCCUCCUGAAAGAUUCGUCCUUAUCAUCUAGCAGCAGCCAAGAAAAUUUGACUUCAUCUUCAUACUUACCAUGUUCGAUUGAGACAUUGGGAAGAAGAUUUGCCAGAAGAAGAAGAAGGCCAUUACAAGAAACCCCUAAACCCCUAAACCAGAAGAAUUGAUAGCCAAACUCGUCCAAUAAAUCCAUCUGGGAGUGCAAGCCAGCACGUAAAAAGAACAGACACAGUAGUUGUUGGGAAAAAAUUCAACCUUCUUCGAUGCUACUGAACGUAGAAGAAGCCAAAACUGAUGAAGAAGCUGUGGGGGAUUCGCAGGUUACACCCAACACACCAAGUAACGAAAAAAAUUUAGCUGUUUUUAUUUAAUUACAAUUUUUUUUCAAAAGAAGUAUCAAGUAACAGACCUCGUGUUGAUGAAGAGGUGCAAUCAUUAAAGUUGCAAGAAAAAAUCAAUCAAGAAAUACAUCAGCAGCAUCCGAACUAUUGAAUCAGGACUAAUACUACAGAAUGAUAGCUGCAACAUAUACAAACAGUCAAGAAACGCUGAGACGUCAAGAGGAUAUGGCACUCAAACUUAAUGCCCUUACUGAAUUCGUUUCGAAGCUAAGGUUUGACGCAGAUGAAUCGAGCGACAAAAAACAAAGCUUCAUUGCCGUAGAUAACCUAAUCGAAAAGUUCCCUAUGAACGAUUUAGCCGACUUAGAAAAUUUUGAAAGAAGGUUUAAAAGAAAGGUUCUGAACCAAGAGCUGGCUCUUGAAGAUUUGGUAUGUUGACUUUUUUGUUGUUAAUAAUAUUUAAAAAAAAAUAUUUUUUUUUUCAGUAUGCUGAUUUGAGGUUUAAA
Long non-coding RNA from Daphnia pulex (common water flea), 1162 nucleotides. RefSeq lists it as uncharacterized. The record is from RefSeq and is a predicted model, not a curated record. NCBI's taxonomy places the organism in Eukaryota, Metazoa, Arthropoda, Branchiopoda, Diplostraca, Daphniidae. The transcript has 3 exons.